Molecule: non-coding RNA, 73 nt
Organism: Cordylochernes scorpioides
Lineage: Eukaryota; Metazoa; Arthropoda; Arachnida; Pseudoscorpiones; Chernetidae
Source: the annotation of a GenBank genome assembly
GUCCAGGAAUGGGAAUCGAACCCACAGUGUUCCGCUUACCGGGCAGAUGCCAUGUCCACUAGGCUACCCUGGA